CCUACGGGUGGCAGCAGUGAGGAAUAUUGGUCAAUGGGCGGAAGCCUGAACCAGCCAAGUAGCGUGCAGGAUGACGGCCCUACGGGUUGUAAACUGCUUUUAUACGGGAAUAACGCGCCUUACGUGUAGGGCUUUGUAUGUACUUUAUGAAUAAGGAUCGGCUAACUCCGUGCCAGCAGCCGCGGUAAUACGGAGGAUCCGAGCGUUAUCCGGAUUUAUUGGGUUUAAAGGGAGCGUAGAUGGGUUGUUAAGUCAGUUGUGAAAGUUUGCGGCUCAACCGUAAAAUUGCAAUUGAUACUGGCAGCCUUGAGUACAGUUGAGGUAGGCGGAAUUCGUGGUGUAGCGGUGAAAUGCUUAGAUAUCACGAAGAACUCCGAUUGCGAAGGCAGCCUACUAAACUGCCACUGACAUUGAUGCUCGAAAGUGUGGGUAUCAAACAGGAUUAGAUACCCUGGUAGUC
RNAcentral lists this ribosomal RNA (460 nucleotides) under uncultured bacterium. RNAcentral's name for it is "partial 16S ribosomal RNA". It matches the Rfam family "Bacterial small subunit ribosomal RNA", at positions 338 to 795 of the family's 1533-position model. The record is from RNAcentral.